ACAGUGUCUGGUGGGUAGUUUGACUGGGGCGGUCUCCUCCUAAAGAGUAACGGAGGAGCACGAAGGUUGGCUAAUCCUGGUCGGACAUCAGGAGGUUAGUGCAAUGGCAUAAGCCAGCUUGACUGCGAGCGUGACGGCGCGAGCAGGUGCGAAAGCAGGUCAUAGUGAUCCGGUGGUUCUGAAUGGAAGGGCCAUCGCUCAACGGAUAAAAGGUACUCCGGGGAUAACAGGCUGAUACCGCCCAAGAGUUCAUAUCGACGGCGGUGUUUGGCACCUCGAUGUCGGCUCAUCACAUCCUGGGGCUGAAGUAGGUCCCAAGGGUAUGGCUGUUCGCCAUUUAAAGUGGUACGCGAGCUGGGUUUAGAACGUCGUGAGACAGUUCGGUCCCUAUCUGCCGUGGGCGCUGGAGAACUGAGGGGGGCUGCUCCUAGUACGAGAGGACCGGAGUGGACGCAUCACUGGUGUUCGGGUUGUCAUGCCAAUGGCACUG
This 490-nucleotide ribosomal RNA is filed under the name Escherichia coli. RNAcentral describes it as "partial 23S ribosomal RNA". It matches the Rfam family "Bacterial large subunit ribosomal RNA", at positions 2251 to 2740 of the family's 2925-position model. The record is from RNAcentral. Lineage: Bacteria; Pseudomonadati; Pseudomonadota; Gammaproteobacteria; Enterobacterales; Enterobacteriaceae.